Molecule: non-coding RNA, 26 nt
Filed under: Rattus norvegicus (Norway rat)
Lineage: Eukaryota; Metazoa; Chordata; Mammalia; Rodentia; Muridae
Source: RNAcentral
UGAAUGAGCAGACUGUUUCCAUAACC